CAGUAGCCACGGUAAUACGAAGGGUGCAAGCGUUAAUCGGAAUUACUGGGCGUAAAGCGUGCGUAGGCGGUUUCUUAAGUCUGCUGUGAAAUCCCAGGGCUCAACCUGGGAAUGGCAGUGGAUACUGGGAGGCUAGAGUGUGUCAGAGGAUGGUGGAAUUACCGGUGUAGCGGUGAAAUGCGUAGAGAUCGGGAGGAACAUCAGUGGCGAAGGCGGCCAUCUGGGACAACACUGACGCUGAGGCACGAAAGCGUGGGGAGCAAACAGGAUUAGAUACCCCCGUAGUCCCUGUCUCUUAUAA
RNAcentral lists this ribosomal RNA (301 nucleotides) under uncultured bacterium. RNAcentral describes it as "partial 16S ribosomal RNA". It matches the Rfam family "Bacterial small subunit ribosomal RNA", at positions 509 to 809 of the family's 1533-position model. The record is from RNAcentral.